This 132-nucleotide ribosomal RNA is filed under the name uncultured Cellulomonas sp. RNAcentral describes it as "partial 16S ribosomal RNA". It matches the Rfam family "Bacterial small subunit ribosomal RNA", at positions 379 to 524 of the family's 1533-position model. The record is from RNAcentral. Lineage: Bacteria; Bacillati; Actinomycetota; Actinomycetes; Micrococcales; Cellulomonadaceae.
GACCCUGAUGCAGCGACGCCGCGUGAGGGAGAAGGCCUUCGGGUUGUAAACCUCUUUCAGCAGGGAAGAAGCGCAAGUGACGGUACCUGCAGAAGAAGCGCCGGCUAACUACGUGCCAGCAGCCGCGGUAAU